RNAcentral lists this ribosomal RNA (449 nucleotides) under uncultured bacterium. Its description in RNAcentral is "SSU rRNA". It matches the Rfam family "Bacterial small subunit ribosomal RNA", at positions 26 to 518 of the family's 1533-position model. The record is from RNAcentral.
AGAGCGAACGCUGGCGGCAGGCUUAACACAUGCAAGUCGAGCGGGCGUAGCAAUACGUCAGCGGCAGACGGGUGAGUAACGCGUGGGAACGUACCUUUUGGUUCGGAACAACCCAGGGAAACUUGGGCUAAUACCGGAUAAGCCCUUACGGGGAAAGAUUUAUCGCCGAAAGAUCGGCCCGCGUCUGAUUAGCUAGUUGGUGAGGUAAUGGCUCACCAAGGCGACGAUCAGUAGCUGGUCUGAGAGGAUGAUCAGCCACAUUGGGACUGAGACACGGCCCAAACUCCUACGGGAGGCAGCAGUGGGGAAUAUGGACAAUGGGCGCAAGCCUGAUCCAGCCAUGCCGCGUGAGUGAUGAAGGCCCUAGGGUUGUAAAAGCUCUUUUGUGCGGGAAGAUAAAUGACGGUACCGCAAGAAUAAGCCCCGGCUAACUUCGUGCCAGCAGCCGC